RNAcentral lists this ribosomal RNA (229 nucleotides) under uncultured eukaryote. RNAcentral's name for it is "partial 18S ribosomal RNA". It matches the Rfam family "Eukaryotic small subunit ribosomal RNA", at positions 1208 to 1456 of the family's 1831-position model. The record is from RNAcentral.
GGGAAACUUACCAGAUCAAGGCAUAGUAAGGAUUGACAGAUUGAGAGUUCUCUCUCGAUUCUAUGGGUGGUGGUGCAUGGCCGCUCUUAGUUGGUGGAGUGAUUUGUCUGGUGAAUUUCGUUAACGAACGAGACCUGAACAUGUUGAGUAGUGAAUCGUAACCUCGGUUGCGUUGGAAUCUUCUUAGAGGGACUUUGUGUGAUCAACGCAAGGAAGUUUGAGGCGAUAA